This 1193-nucleotide long non-coding RNA is filed under the name Dasypus novemcinctus (nine-banded armadillo). Its description in RNAcentral is "lncRNA (ENSDNOG00000051950.1)". The record is from RNAcentral. Lineage: Eukaryota; Metazoa; Chordata; Mammalia; Cingulata; Dasypodidae.
GCUUAUGAAUUUUCUUACCUGGUCCUCUGGUAAAGCAGCUUGAGGGUCUGUGUUCUGGCAUUUUGAUGGAAUAGAUUUAUUUUCUUCACCCAGGACACCAGGUGCUACUUGCUAUAAAAACAGCAGAGGAUUGAAUCUCUUCCCUUAAGGCUUCUGGCAGCUCUGCAGCAAAUCUGGCCACUAGCUUGCCAGGGCUUAAUAGGCUUGUAUGUUGGGGGGAUGGGAAAGGGGGGAGGGGUGAGAGGAGAUAAGAGAGAGAGAGAGAAUGCUUCACUUUCCAGAUUCUCAAAGGGGAUAGUGUUUUCUUGCCUUACUUAUCUCAUAAGGUUGUUCUGAAAGUAAAAUAAGAUAAUGUAGGACAAUAAAUAUGGCUGUGCCUAGAAAAAAUGGGCCAUGACAUUUUAAUAUACUAUUAACUGAUAUGUGGUACUGAAUCAAUAUUGUUCUGUAUCCCCAAAAGAGAUAGUAUAAUCUAGUGAUUAAGGCCAUGGGAUAUUUGAUUUAGUCCUUGCUAGCUCUGUGAUUUCAGGUAUUGAAUCUCUUUCAGCUUCAAUUUAUUUAUCUGGAAAAUAAAGAUAAUAACUUUGCCAACAUUUUAUAGUUGCUGUGAGGAAGAAAUAACUUAUUGUAGGGGAAGUGCUUACUCUAAUGUCUGGCAUAUGUUGUUUGUUUAAUAAAGUGUCUGCUAUCCUUAUCCCUCCCAUGCCCAACAGGACCUCGCAGCUUUUUCCAAGUGUAUUUGUAUAGAAAUGACCACCAAGACCCAAUGAAAAUCAAUGACAUGGAGAGACAUCAUGGACCAAAGACACCAAGGAAUUGGAGGACCUGGAUUUCCAACUGGCUGGGUGACAUUGCACAGAUUCUUUGUUUACAAUGAUAUUAACAUUUCUGCGAUAUGCAGCAGGAGAGAUGGACUUCUUCCCAGGAGCUCUGAGCAAGUCUUUCUUCCCAUCUCAUUUUCCCAAACAUUCCUGGAAGUCUCUAAAAGCGGGUGGCUUUGAUUCUUCCAUCAGUGCCUACUGUGUGCCAGGAAUUAUUCUAGGCACUGGCCACAAAGCAGAAAAUGACUCUCAAGGUUUUAUGGAACUUACGAAAAGUUCUGUUUUUGUCUUGUAAACAGAAAACAAGGUAAGUGCGUAAAAUAGCUUUAUGCUACAUGGCAUGCUACAUGAUAUGUGCUAAUGAGAUAAAUA